RNAcentral lists this ribosomal RNA (1533 nucleotides) under Staphylococcus aureus. RNAcentral's name for it is "partial 16S ribosomal RNA". It matches the Rfam family "Bacterial small subunit ribosomal RNA". Lineage: Bacteria; Bacillati; Bacillota; Bacilli; Caryophanales; Staphylococcaceae. The record is from RNAcentral.
GGCUCAGGAUGAACGCUGGCGGCGUGCCUAAUACAUGCAAGUCGAGCGAACGGACGAGAAGCUUGCUUCUCUGAUGUUAGCGGCGGACGGGUGAGUAACACGUGGAUAACCUACCUAUAAGACUGGGAUAACUUCGGGAAACCGGAGCUAAUACCGGAUAAUAUUUUGAACCGCAUGGUUCAAAAGUGAAAGACGGUCUUGCUGUCACUUAUAGAUGGAUCCGCGCUGCAUUAGCUAGUUGGUAAGGUAACGGCUUACCAAGGCAACGAUGCAUAGCCGACCUGAGAGGGUGAUCGGCCACACUGGAACUGAGACACGGUCCAGACUCCUACGGGAGGCAGCAGUAGGGAAUCUUCCGCAAUGGGCGAAAGCCUGACGGAGCAACGCCGCGUGAGUGAUGAAGGUCUUCGGAUCGUAAAACUCUGUUAUUAGGGAAGAACAUAUGUGUAAGUAACUGUGCACAUCUUGACGGUACCUAAUCAGAAAGCCACGGCUAACUACGUGCCAGCAGCCGCGGUAAUACGUAGGUGGCAAGCGUUAUCCGGAAUUAUUGGGCGUAAAGCGCGCGUAGGCGGUUUUUUAAGUCUGAUGUGAAAGCCCACGGCUCAACCGUGGAGGGUCAUUGGAAACUGGAAAACUUGAGUGCAGAAGAGGAAAGUGGAAUUCCAUGUGUAGCGGUGAAAUGCGCAGAGAUAUGGAGGAACACCAGUGGCGAAGGCGACUUUCUGGUCUGUAACUGACGCUGAUGUGCGAAAGCGUGGGGAUCAAACAGGAUUAGAUACCCUGGUAGUCCACGCCGUAAACGAUGAGUGCUAAGUGUUAGGGGGUUUCCGCCCCUUAGUGCUGCAGCUAACGCAUUAAGCACUCCGCCUGGGGAGUACGACCGCAAGGUUGAAACUCAAAGGAAUUGACGGGGACCCGCACAAGCGGUGGAGCAUGUGGUUUAAUUCGAAGCAACGCGAAGAACCUUACCAAAUCUUGACAUCCUUUGACAACUCUAGAGAUAGAGCCUUCCCCUUCGGGGGGGCAAAGUGACAGGUGGUGCAUGGUUGUCGUCAGCUCGUGUCGUGAGAUGUUGGGUUAAGUCCCGCAACGAGCGCAACCCUUAAGCUUAGUUGCCAUCAUUAAGUUGGGCACUCUAAGUUGACUGCCGGUGACAAACCGGAGGAAGGUGGGGAUGACGUCAAAUCAUCAUGCCCCUUAUGAUUUGGGCUACACACGUGCUACAAUGGACAAUACAAAGGGCAGCGAAACCGCGAGGUCAAGCAAAUCCCAUAAAGUUGUUCUCAGUUCGGAUUGUAGUCUGCAACUCGACUACAUGAAGCUGGAAUCGCUAGUAAUCGUAGAUCAGCAUGCUACGGUGAAUACGUUCCCGGGUCUUGUACACACCGCCCGUCACACCACGAGAGUUUGUAACACCCGAAGCCGGUGGAGUAACCUUUUAGGAGCUAGCCGUCGAAGGUGGGACAAAUGAUUGGGGUGAAGUCGUAACAAGGUAGCCGUAUCGGAAGGUGCGGCUGGAUCACCUCCUUU